This 273-nucleotide ribosomal RNA is filed under the name uncultured bacterium. RNAcentral describes it as "partial 16S ribosomal RNA". It matches the Rfam family "Bacterial small subunit ribosomal RNA", at positions 524 to 796 of the family's 1533-position model. The record is from RNAcentral.
UACGUAGGGUGCAAGCGUUGUCCGGAAUUAUUGGGCGUAAAGAGCUCGUAGGCGGCCUGUCACGUCGGCUGUGAAAACCCGAGGCUCAACCUCGGGCCUGCAGUCGAUACGGGCAGGCUAGAGUUCGGUAGGGGAGACUGGAAUUCCUGGUGUAGCGGUGAAAUGCGCAGAUAUCAGGAGGAACACCGGUGGCGAAGGCGGGUCUCUGGGCCGAAACUGACGCUGAGGAGCGAAAGCGUGGGGAGCGAACAGGAUUAGAAACCCCCGUAGUCC